UACGUAGGGGGCAAGCGUUGUCCGGAAUAAUUGGGCGUAAAGGGCGCGUAGGCGGCUCGGUAAGUCUGGAGUGAAAGUCCUGCUUUUAAGGUGGGAAUUGCUUUGGAUACUGUCGGGCUUGAGUGCAGGAGAGGUUAGUGGAAUUCCCAGUGUAGCGGUGAAAUGCGUAGAGAUUGGGAGGAACACCAGUGGCGAAGGCGACUAACUGGACUGUAACUGACGCUGAGGCGCGAAAGUGUGGGGAGCAAACAGG
Molecule: ribosomal RNA, 253 nt
Filed under: uncultured bacterium
Lineage: Bacteria
Also listed under: 1 other name
Description: partial 16S ribosomal RNA
Rfam family: Bacterial small subunit ribosomal RNA
Source: RNAcentral